UGCUGCAUGCUGUCGUCAGCUCGUGUCGUGAGAUGUUCGGUUAAGUCCGCUAACGAGCGCAACCCUCGCUGUGUGUUACAAGUGUCACACGGAACUGCCGGUCAUAAACCGGAGGAAGGUGGGGAUGACGUCAAGUCAGCAUGGCCUUUAUAUCCUGGGCUACACACACGCUACAAUGGCCAACACAAUAGGUUGCUAAGCCGCGAGGUGGCGCCAAUCCAUAAAGUUGGUCUCAGUUCAGAUUGUAGGCUGCAACCCGCCUGCAUGAAGAUGGAGUUGCUAGUAACCGCAGGUCAGCUAUACUGCGGUGAAUACGUUCCCGGGGCUU
This 328-nucleotide ribosomal RNA is filed under the name uncultured Leptolinea sp. Its description in RNAcentral is "bacterial SSU rRNA". It matches the Rfam family "Bacterial small subunit ribosomal RNA", at positions 1039 to 1382 of the family's 1533-position model. The record is from RNAcentral. Lineage: Bacteria; Bacillati; Chloroflexota; Anaerolineae; Anaerolineales; Anaerolineaceae.